CACGUAGUUAGCCGGGGCUUCUUGGUCAGGUACCGUCAUUGCUUUCUUCCCUGCUGACAGAGCUUUACAUACCGAAAUACUUCUUCACUCACGCGGCGUCGCUGGAUCAGGGUUCCCCCCCAUUGUCCAAUAUCCCCCACUGCUGCCUCCCGUAGGAGUUUGGGCCGUGUCUCAGUCCCAAUGUGGCCGUCCACCCUCUCAGGCCGGCUACUGAUCGUCGCCUUGGUGGGCCUUUACCCCGCCAACCAGCUAAUCAGACGCGGGUCCAUCUUGCACCACCGGAGUUUUUCACACUGUCCCAUGCAGGACCGUGCGCUUAUGCGGUAUUAGCACCUAUUUCUAAGUGUUAUCCCCCAGUGCAAGGCAGGUUACCCACGCGUUACUCACCCGUCCGCCACUAGAUUGCACUUGAUUUGACCGAAAUCGCAUCUCCGUGUAAUCCCCGUUCGACUUGCAUGUGUUAAGCACGCCGCCAGCGUUCAUCCUGAGCCAGGAUCAAACU
This 502-nucleotide ribosomal RNA is filed under the name uncultured Lachnospiraceae bacterium. RNAcentral's name for it is "partial 16S ribosomal RNA". The record is from RNAcentral. Lineage: Bacteria; Bacillati; Bacillota; Clostridia; Lachnospirales; Lachnospiraceae.